GACGAACGCUGGCGGCGUGCUUAACACAUGCAAGUCGAACGGAAAGGCCCUUCGGGGUACUCGAGUGGCGAACGGGUGAGUAACACGUGGGUGAUCUGCCCUGCACUUUGGGAUAAGCCUGGGAAUCUGGGUCUAAUACCGAAUAGGACCACGCGCUUCAUGGUGUGUGGUGGAAAGCUUUUGCGGUGUGGGAUGGGCCCGCGGCCUAUCAGCUUGUUGGUGGGGUAAUGGCCUACCAAGGCGACGACGGGUAGCCGGCCUGAGAGGGUGACCGGCCACACUGGGACUGAGAUACGGCCCAGACUCCUACGGGAGGCAGCAGUGGGGAAUAUUGCACAAUGGGCGCAAGCCUGAUGCAGCGACGCCGCGUGAGGGAUGACGGCCUUCGGGUUGUAAACCUCUUUCAAUAGGGACGAAGCGCAAGUGACGGUACCUAUAGAAGAAGCACCGGCCAACUACGUG
Molecule: ribosomal RNA, 462 nt
Filed under: uncultured bacterium
Lineage: Bacteria
Description: partial 16S ribosomal RNA
Rfam family: Bacterial small subunit ribosomal RNA
Source: RNAcentral